GUGGCUCGCCAUGUCUUCUCACAAGACUUUUAGGAUCAAGAGAUUCCUGGCCAAGAAACAAAAGCAAAAUCGCCCCAUUCCGCAGUGGGUUCAGAUGAAAACUGGCAAUAAAAUCCGGUACAACUCCAAGAGGAGACAUUGGCGAAGCUCCAAGCUGGGCCUGUAAGGAAUGGCACGUGAGACGGCGCAGACGUUGAUGCUGUAUCAAGGUCACCAUCACCUUACCAUGUCAAGUUGAAAAUGUCACCACAGUCUGGGAAGCUGGACG
Molecule: RNA transcript, 268 nt
Organism: Carlito syrichta (Philippine tarsier)
Lineage: Eukaryota; Metazoa; Chordata; Mammalia; Primates; Tarsiidae
Gene name: 60S ribosomal protein L39 pseudogene
Exons: 1
Source: RefSeq, a predicted model, not a curated record